CGGCCGAACUCAAGAGAGCAGUAAUCUCCUUCAUUUCUACAGGAAAAUCGAUCAGCAACUUUACUGUCGAUGUCUUUAAAUUCACAACGGCUGAGGUCCAAGGCGAGUUCAGGAUCAGGAAGGGGAAAGGCUGUUGAGAAAUUUACUUCGUUAGCGCACAUAAACUGAUAGAAACAUGGCAGCUACGCAGUUCUCCGCCGGAAAAUUUUAAGUUGACGAGCAACGCGAGAUUCGUUUCUACAAAAAAAAACUUUUCGACGACCAAUUCCAGCAAAUUCGAUUUUCCAUCAACAGUCUUAAGAAAAGUUACCAACGUUUUCUCGAACUUUUGAGAGGAUAAAGAUACCUUUACAAGCUUAAGUUUUGUUAAAACGUCGAUUGUAAAGCCCCACGCACGCUCAAUAGAGGAGUUUCCCUCGUUCAUAAAGUUUCCUAUGCAAAGUAUGAUGCCCAAGAUAGUUUUAAUGCCUUUACAUCUCAAGCCC
Zophobas morio is the source of this 485-nucleotide long non-coding RNA. RefSeq lists it as uncharacterized. The record is from RefSeq and is a predicted model, not a curated record. NCBI's taxonomy places the organism in Eukaryota, Metazoa, Arthropoda, Insecta, Coleoptera, Tenebrionidae. The transcript is spliced from 2 exons.